CGGGCGGAAAUGACGAAGCUGGAGGUGCCGGUGGUGAUGGGGGUGACCAGAGUGAAGUCAUUGAAGCAAGCUCGCCGUCUUCCUCCUCCUCCUCCGUUAAUCAACUUUUCGAUGGUCUGGCGAGGUUGGAUUCAUGUAUCUCAAGUGUUGGCCAGACAGCUGUGAUGACUAGGGAUCAUCUCCAGGAUUAGGCUGCAUGAGUUGGAAGUCCUGCCUGUAUUUUCUGCCAUCACUUGAAGCAGAACUGGACUAUUUCUUCUUUUUGAACUACGUUGUUCCCUUUUUUUUUUCUGUUUGUUGCAGUAGUAUGUUCGGAAGAAUGGCCAAUGUCUUUCUUGUUGUUCAAGAGGCUUGCAAAUUUGUUUGAGGGUACACUUAGCAUUCGCAAAGGUGGACAAAGAUUCAAAGACAUUUAGAGAAAAGAGGUCUGCUAGGGUUUCCUCUCUUUAUCAAUUUCUGCUAGAAUAUUCAAUCUCUGUCUCUCUCUCUCUUCCUCUUCCCCUACCGGAAAUCUCAAUAUCUUCCUCUUCCCCUUGCUGCCGCAACCUGCGCCCGCCGCCGCGCAAGACGCCGCCGCCGUCGCCGCGCAAGACGAAAAACUGAGAGAGAUUACAGUUCUUGGAGAGCAUCAACGAGACUGAUUAAAAAAUCUCCUUCCGAAAUAGAGUUCUGAGUUUUCUCCCUAAACCUCUCUACCAGGUUUCUUUCCUUUAGAUUCAUUCAUUUCCUUCUUUGUCAUCCUUCUUAUGCAAAGUUUCAUUAGAUUGAACUUGUUCGAAUUGGAUUAGUCAUUAGAUUGAAGAUCAUGCCAAACCCCUUUAAGCUAGCCAAGAAAAGUUUCUUAAUUGAAUAUCUUAUUCUUGUUUAAAUGAACUAUGAUUUAAAUUGUUUCAAUGGAACCAAAUUUAGGUGCUCAACUGCUCACAGAAACUAUAUGCAUAUAUAAUCAAUGAGGAAAAUGCUAUUUCAGAUAGAAUUUUUAGUUAUUAGCAGAGCUAAUCUUAACAAAUUAUUUUGUUAUUUGUAAAUUACCAGUCUAUAAUUAGGAGUUUUAAUUUAUCUUUUUAUUAAAUAUCAAGAAAAAAAUGAUCUUUAUAGUGAUUUUUAAUUCAAACAAGUACAAAUAUCAAAUUUCCAAUUGACUUGUAUAUAAGAAAAAAUCUUUAUUCAAAUAUAUGGGUUUAACAUUGUCUUUUGAUAUGAAUUAGCAAUCUGGUAUAUCCAAGAAAAAAUAUGGCCAACAGAUUAUUAUUUUUACCAAAACAAACGAAGGAAUCAAGAUCUGGAAUAUCUCUUGGAAUCAUAAAAUCAACGAGGCAUUCUAUUAUUUGCUUGUUCUUAGUACUGUAAUGAUGCCUUGAUCUCAUUAUCCAAUUAUAUUUAUUUGAUUAUUGUCUUAGUGAUAAGUUGGAAUUUCUGAUGAGAAACAAACAAUUUGCAAACCCAGCAGCUUAGUCAGAUCAUGGCUUCUCCUUCUCAAACUCACCUCAAUGUUGCAAUGCGGGUCCUUCUCAAACAUCUAAAGGUCGAUUGUCAUUUUGUUUGACAAAAAGUUCAAGCGGGUGUGAUGAAAUUACUUUCAGUUCCUUCUUCUCGACAAUUGACCGACAUCCUUAUCAAAUCUUCCUCCACUCAAUCGUUUGAUGCUAAUAAAUCUUCCUAGAGAGGUCUGCUAGGGAGCACAAAAUUAGGGCAAUUGGUAAAUUUUAAAUUGCUUUUGUUACUAUAUUACCCUAUUUGGUUGCAUGUCAUUGUUUUCAUGUGUGUUUUAUGUAGAUAUUAGAUGUGCUUCUCUUGUAGGUUUAACUCUAAUGUUAUGUUUUGUGAAGCUGUUUUAGUUUCAAUAUUUGGAGAUUGAUUUCCCCAUCAUCAGGUAGCUUUUUCUUGCCUUGUAAUGAUUCAACUCUUAACCUGCAGAGAGCUUUUUUAAAUUAUCCUCGUUUUAGCUUUUUAUUGUUAUAUUUCAAUCUCUCUUGUCCAUCCUCUCAUUUCUGGAUUCUUUUUCUUCUAAUGUUUCAUGUAUUCAGUCUUCAUUAGAGCUUGAUCAUUAUUUGUAUCCCGGAUAAAGGUGAUGAAUCAGGGCCAAUCAUACUUUAUCUGGAUUUUUAUAUGCGAUAUUUGAAGCAGCAAGCAUCUUUGGAGAUCGUUAUCCAAGUAUAAUUUUUUUAAUACAUAUUUCUACAAGAAGCUUCAGGAUUCUGUUUCGGUUAAGAUAAUAUAUUAUCUUUAUGCACAUGCAUAGCUGUAUAUUUAAUUCAAUCUUUGGAAAGAGCUCAAGAAGGGCAAACGAAGCAUAGAAGUGCACAUCAUAUGUGCACCAUAUGAUAUAUUCAACACCUUCCAAGUACAGAAACCUUCCAACAUCAUCUCUGUCAUAUUGCUGGUCUAUCAUUGCCAGAGUAACACUAGCAUCACUUUCUUGGGAGAGAUCACCACGAUGUUUUUCAUCCACGCCAUCUACCAUGCAAUCAACGUCACUGGCACUAUCUGUUGUAUACUCAACAUCAUAGGUGCUAUCUGUUGUACGCCCAGCAUCUGCACCUUGUCUACGACUCACUUUGGCUUCAGUUACUUUGACUUCUGUAUUUUCCAAUUCUUUUACCUGAUCCCGUUGAACUUUUUGUCAAACAAAAUGACAAUUGACCUUUGGAUGUUUGAGAA
Arachis duranensis is the source of this 2661-nucleotide RNA transcript. RefSeq lists it as uncharacterized. Lineage: Eukaryota; Viridiplantae; Streptophyta; Magnoliopsida; Fabales; Fabaceae. The transcript has 6 exons. The record is from RefSeq and is a predicted model, not a curated record.